Molecule: ribosomal RNA, 449 nt
Filed under: uncultured organism
Description: bacterial SSU rRNA
Rfam family: Bacterial small subunit ribosomal RNA
Source: RNAcentral
GAUGAACGCUGGCGGCGUGCCUAAGACAUGCAAGUCGAACGAGUCGCAAGACUAGUGGCGAACGGGUGAGGAACACGUGAGAAACCUGCCCUUUAGAUGGGGAUAACCUCGAGAAAUCGAGGCUAAUACCGAAUACGAUUGCUUUCCGGCAUCGGAGAGUAAUGAAAUCAUUUAUGGCUAAAGGAUGGUCUCGCGUCUGAUUAGUUAGUUGGCGGGGUAACGGCCCACCAAGACGAUGAUCAGUAGCUGGUCUGAGAGGAUGGACAGCCACACUGGGACUGAGAUACGGCCCAGACUCCUACGGGAGGCAGCAGUCGGGAAUAUUGCACAAUGGGCGAAAGCCUGAUGCAGCGACGCCGCGUGAAGGAUGAAGCGUUUCGGCGUGUAAACUUCUGUUAGAGGGGACGAUUAUGACGGUACCCUCAGAGAAAGCACCGGCUAAAUAUGUG